GUGGUGGAUAAUGGUUGACAACUUAUCAUCAUCUGCUUAUUAUUAACAAAUGACGGUCUUGUAACGGGUGCACGCUCGUGCGGGAUCGGGUCUUAUGCAAUGAGAGCCUGCGAACCGUGUCAGGUCGGGAACGAAGCAGCACUAAGCGGAAUCUCUCAUGUGUUGUAAGGUAGCCUGGUUUCGCCCUGCGUGUGUCCAUUACAGGACCGUUACGCUUUAUUCCCACAC
This 228-nucleotide signal recognition particle RNA is filed under the name Butyrivibrio sp. ob235. RNAcentral's name for it is "Bacterial large signal recognition particle RNA". The stretch from base 84 to 183 matches the Rfam family "Bacterial small signal recognition particle RNA". Lineage: Bacteria; Bacillati; Bacillota; Clostridia; Lachnospirales; Lachnospiraceae. The record is from RNAcentral.